UCCCUGGUGGUCCAGUGGUUAGGACUCUGUGCUGCCACUGAAGGGGACCCAGGUUCCAUCCCUGGUCAGGGAA
Balaenoptera musculus (blue whale) is the source of this 73-nucleotide non-coding RNA. Lineage: Eukaryota; Metazoa; Chordata; Mammalia; Artiodactyla; Balaenopteridae. The record is from the annotation of a RefSeq genome assembly.